AUACGGAGGAUCCGAGCGUUAUCCGGAUUUAUUGGGUUUAAAGGGAGCGUAGGCGGACGCUUAAGUCAGUUGUGAAAGUUUGCGGCUCAACCGUAAAAUUGCAGUUGAUACUGGGUGUCUUGAGUACAGUAGAGGCAGGUGGUAUUCUAGGGGUAGCGGGGAAAUGGUUAGAUAUCACGAAGAACUCCGAUUGCGAAGGCAGCCUGCUGGACUGUAACUGACGCUGAUGCUCGAAAGUGUGGGUAUCAAACAGGAUUAGAUACCCUGGUAGUCCACACAGUAAACGAUGAAUACUCGCUGUUUGCGAUAUACAGUAAGCGGCCAAGCGAAAGCGUUAAGUAUUCCACCUGGGGAGUACGCCGGCAACGGUUAAACUUAAAGGAAUUGACGGGG
RNAcentral lists this ribosomal RNA (393 nucleotides) under uncultured bacterium. RNAcentral describes it as "partial 16S ribosomal RNA". It matches the Rfam family "Bacterial small subunit ribosomal RNA", at positions 523 to 918 of the family's 1533-position model. The record is from RNAcentral.